This is a non-coding RNA of Solea solea (common sole), 77 nucleotides long. The record is from the annotation of a RefSeq genome assembly. NCBI's taxonomy places the organism in Eukaryota, Metazoa, Chordata, Actinopteri, Pleuronectiformes, Soleidae.
GGUCACAUGGUUGGUGUAGUGGUUAGCACGCUUGCCUUUGCAGCAAGAGGACCUGGGUUCGAGCCCCGGUUAGAACA